This 413-nucleotide ribosomal RNA is filed under the name uncultured bacterium. Its description in RNAcentral is "bacterial SSU rRNA". It matches the Rfam family "Bacterial small subunit ribosomal RNA", at positions 505 to 916 of the family's 1533-position model. The record is from RNAcentral.
GUGCCAACAGCCGCGGUAAAACGUAGGUGGCGAGCGUUGUCCGGAAUUACUGGGUGUAAAGGGCGCGUAGGCGGGGGAGCAAGUCAGGUGUGAAAUACCACGGCUCAACCGUGGGGGUGCAUCUGAAACUGUUCUUCUUGAGUGCUGGAGAGGAAAGCGGAAUUCCUAGUGUAGCGGUGAAAUGCGUAGAGAUUAGGAGGAACACCAGUGGCGAAGGCGGCUUUCUGGACAGUAACUGACGCUGAGGCGCGAAAGCGUGGGGAGCAAACAGGAUUAGAUACCCUGGUAGUCCACGCCGUAAACGAUGGAUACUAGGUGUAGGAGGUAUCGACCCCUUCUGUGCCGGAGUUAACACAAUAAGUAUCCCACCUGGGGAGUACGGCCGCAAGGUUGAAACUCAAAUGAAUUGGCGG